This 377-nucleotide ribosomal RNA is filed under the name uncultured Silvanigrellaceae bacterium. Its description in RNAcentral is "bacterial SSU rRNA". It matches the Rfam family "Bacterial small subunit ribosomal RNA", at positions 523 to 898 of the family's 1533-position model. Lineage: Bacteria; Pseudomonadati; Bdellovibrionota; Oligoflexia; Silvanigrellales; Silvanigrellaceae. The record is from RNAcentral.
AUACGAAGGGUGCAAGCGUUGUUCGGAAUUAUUGGGCGUAAAGGGUUCGUAGGCGGGAUUAUAAGUCAAGUGUGAAAUCCCCGAGCUUAACUCGGGACGUGCAUUUGAAACUAUAGUUCUUGAGUCAUAGAGAGGGUAGUGGAAUUGUUGGUGUAGGAGUGACAUCCGUAGAGAUCAACAGGAACAUCAGAGGCGAAAGCGGCUGCCUGGCUAUGUACUGACGCUGAGGAACGAAAGUGUGGGGAGCAAACAGGAUUAGAUACCCUGGUAGUCCACACCAUAAACGAUGAUAACUAGGUGUUGGGGGAGUUGACCCCCUCAGUACCGUAGCUCACGCGCUAAGUUAUCCGCCUGGGGAGUACGGCCGCAAGGCUAAA